RNAcentral lists this ribosomal RNA (373 nucleotides) under uncultured organism. RNAcentral describes it as "partial 16S ribosomal RNA". It matches the Rfam family "Bacterial small subunit ribosomal RNA", at positions 527 to 896 of the family's 1533-position model. The record is from RNAcentral.
GUAGGUGGCAAGCGUUGUCCGGAAUUAUUGGGCGUAAAGCGCGCGCAGGCGGUUCUUUAAGUCUGAUGUGAAAGCCCACGGCUCAACCGUGGAGGGUCAUUGGAAACUGGAGAACUUGAGUACAGAAGAGGAAAGCGGAAUUCCACGUGUAGCGGUGAAAUGCGUAGAGAUGUGGAGGAACACCAGUGGCGAAGGCGGCUUUCUGGUCUGUAACUGACGCUGAGGCGCGAAAGCGUGGGGAGCAAACAGGGAUUAGAUACCCUGGUAGUCCACGCCGUAAACGAUGAGUGCUAAGUGUUAGGGGGUAUCCGCCCCCUUAGUGCUGCAGCUAACGCAUUAAGCACUCCGCCUGGGGAGUACGGCCACAAGGCUG